RNAcentral lists this long non-coding RNA (1040 nucleotides) under Rhinopithecus bieti (black snub-nosed monkey). RNAcentral describes it as "lncRNA (ENSRBIG00000046517.1)". Lineage: Eukaryota; Metazoa; Chordata; Mammalia; Primates; Cercopithecidae. The record is from RNAcentral.
CCUUGUGAUUCGCCCGUCUCGGCCUCCCAAAGUGCUGGGAUUACAGGCGUGAGCCACCGCGCCCGGCCCUUUUUUCUGUUUUAUCUAUCCACUCAUUUUCCAUGUGUCAUAGGUCUUGUAACAGAAAUACGCUGAGAUUUCAAAUAGAACCUAGAAAGUUUUGUGGAAACAUCCAAACACCCCAAAAUUCAAAUAUAAUCCUUAGAUAACCUGCUGUAAUAUGGAAUUCAGGAAGAAAAAAAUCCCCAGCCCCACCCGACAAGAACUCCUUGUCCUAUAAAAUCCUCAGUCUGCCAUGGGAACACUUUAGGACUGCUCAGAAGGACCGGAAACCAUCCUUUAUGGAGAACACCUCCUGUCUGGCCCUGCCUCCUUCUGGAAGAGAUGAUGAUUUAUGCUUAUCUCAAUCACAGUCAAACCCAGGAGAGAGGGAAGAUGAGAUGUAAGCUCCUGGUCACCACCUGAAACUGCACGAAGCUUAGGAAUGAACAGAGAAAGCACAUCCAAGAGAUGGUGACAUCUUUGAGGUACUAUCAACCUGCACCUGGAACCAGUGUGGUUUUUAAGUCAUUUGAACCAAUAUAUUUUCUUUAAAUUACUUAAGCCAGUUUGAGUUUCACCUUCUGUUUCUCAAAGUAAAAAGAACCUGCAUACAGCUUCUUGUACAUGAAUAUUGAUAUCUCUUCACAGAUUUGGGACGUUUUUAGCUAUUAUUUCUUUAGAUAGGCUUUGUGUCCCUUUAUCUCUCUCUUCUCUUUCUGAAAUUGUAUAUGUAAAUAUUAGUUCUCUUCAUGGUUUCCCAUAGAUCCCAUAGACUUCUUUUAUUCUUUUUUCUUUUUGUUCCUUCAACUGGAUAAUUUCAAGUGUCCUGUCUUUUAGUUCACUUAUUCUUUCUUCUGCUUAAUUGAACCUACUGUGGAAACUUUCUAUUGAAUUUUUCAGUUUAUUCAUUAUACCUUAUAAAUAUAUACAAUUGUUAUGUAUCAAUUAAAAAUAAAUUUUAAAAGGAACAAAUGCCAUAUAAAUAGCAACUCCACUUG